Molecule: small nuclear RNA, 105 nt
Organism: Dromiciops gliroides (monito del monte)
Lineage: Eukaryota; Metazoa; Chordata; Mammalia; Microbiotheria; Microbiotheriidae
Source: RefSeq, a predicted model, not a curated record
GUGCUCACUUCGGCAGCACAUAGACUAAAAUUGGAUUGAUACAGAGAAGAUUAGAAUGGCCCUUGCACAAGGAUUGGUAGUAGCUAUGAGAUUAUCCUCUUUUGU